Corchorus capsularis is the source of this 107-nucleotide small nucleolar RNA. It matches the Rfam family "Plant small nucleolar RNA R71". From Rfam's summary of the family: R71 is a member of the C/D box family of snoRNAs containing the C (UGAUGA) and D (CUGA) box motifs. Multiple nearly identical copies of this snoRNA have been identified in Arabidopsis, and it is thought to function as a 2'-O-ribose methylation guide for 18S ribosomal RNA. NCBI's taxonomy places the organism in Eukaryota, Viridiplantae, Streptophyta, Magnoliopsida, Malvales, Malvaceae. The record is from Rfam.
AUGCCAUGGUGAGGGCAAUCGGCGCAUAGCAUCUUAAAUCUGUCCCAUGCUUGGUAAAAAUUUUCAUCCUUUUGUUGUUGAAAAGCAGCAAUUCUUUGUCUUCCUUU